This 71-nucleotide transfer RNA is filed under the name Yongeichthys nebulosus (shadow goby). RNAcentral describes it as "tRNA-Val". It matches the Rfam family "tRNA". Rfam says of the family: Transfer RNA (tRNA) molecules are approximately 80 nucleotides in length. Their secondary structure includes four short double-helical elements and three loops (D, anti-codon, and T loops). The record is from RNAcentral. RNAcentral also lists the same sequence under 1 other name. Lineage: Eukaryota; Metazoa; Chordata; Actinopteri; Gobiiformes; Gobiidae.
CAGUGUGUAGCUAAACAGCACAGCAUCUCCCUUACACCGAGAAGAUAUCCGUGCAAAUCGGAUCACACUGA